This 253-nucleotide ribosomal RNA is filed under the name uncultured bacterium. Its description in RNAcentral is "partial 16S ribosomal RNA". It matches the Rfam family "Bacterial small subunit ribosomal RNA", at positions 524 to 776 of the family's 1533-position model. The record is from RNAcentral.
UACGUAGGGUGCGAGCGUUAAUCGGAAUUACUGGGCGUAAAGGGUGCGCAGGCGGCGUCGCAAGUCAGGCGUGAAAUCCCCGGGCUUAACCUGGGAAUGGCACUUGAAACUACGAUGCUGGAGUAUGGCAGAGGGAGGUGGAAUUCCACGUGUAGCGGUGAAAUGCGUAGAGAUGUGGAGGAUCACCGAUGGCGAAGGCAGCCCCCUGGGUCAAGAUUGACGCUCAUGCACGAAAGCGUGGGGAGCAAACAGG